Molecule: ribosomal RNA, 446 nt
Filed under: uncultured bacterium
Lineage: Bacteria
Description: partial 16S ribosomal RNA
Rfam family: Bacterial small subunit ribosomal RNA
Source: RNAcentral
ACCAGACUCCUACGGGAGGCAGCAGUGGGGGAUAUUGCACAAUGGGGGGAACCCUGAUGCAGCGACGCCGCGUGGGUGAAGAAGCGCCUCGGCGCGUAAAGCCCUGUCAGCAGGGAAGAAAAUGACGGUACCUGAAGAAGAAGCCCCGGCUAACUACGUGCCAGCAGCCGCGGUAAUACGUAGGGGGCAAGCGUUAUCCGGAUUUACUGGGUGUAAAGGGGGCGCAGACGGCGAUGCAAGCCAGGAGUGAAAGCCCGGGGCCCAACCCCGGGACUGCUCUUGGAACUGCGUGGCUGGAGUGCAGGAGGGGCAGGCGGAAUUCCUGGUGUAGCGGUGAAAUGCGUAGAUAUCAGGAGGAGCACCGGUGGCGAAGGCGGCCUGCUGGACUGCAACUGACGUUGAGGCUCGAAGGCGUGGGGAGCAAACAGGAUUAGAUACCCGCGUAA